RNAcentral lists this ribosomal RNA (495 nucleotides) under uncultured bacterium. Its description in RNAcentral is "partial 16S ribosomal RNA". It matches the Rfam family "Bacterial small subunit ribosomal RNA", at positions 28 to 507 of the family's 1533-position model. The record is from RNAcentral.
GAUGAACGCUGGCGGCGUGCCUAAUACAUGCAAGUAGAACGCUGAAGGAGGAGCUUGCUCUUCUGGAUGAGUUGCGAACGGGUGAGUAACGCGUAGGUAACCUGCCUGGUAGCGGGGGAUAACUAUUGGAAACGAUAGCUAAUACCGCAUGACAACAGUUAUUGCAUGAUAACUGUUUAAAAGGGGCAACUGCUCCACUACCAGAUGGACCUGCGUUGUAUUAGCUAGUUGGUGAGGUAACGGCUCACCAAGGCGACGAUACAUAGCCGACCUGAGAGGGGGAUCGGCCACACUGGGACUGAGACGCGGCCCAGACUCCUACGGGAGGCAGCAGUAGGGAAUCUUCGGCAAUGGACGGAAGUCUGACCGAGCAACGCCGCGUGAGUGAAGAAGGUUUUCGGAUCGUAAAGCUCUGUUGUAAGAGAAGAACGAGUGUGAGAGUGGAAAGUUCACACUGUGACGGUAUCUUACCAGAAAGGGACGGCUAACUACGUG